CCCAGGAGGGCAGUGGGGACGCUGAGCCCCACGCGUGGCUCCGCCGCGACCCGGGGGACACGAGGAGCCCCCACAGCAGCCCCACACCGGGACUGGAAGCAUCCAGGCCCCCCGGGGGGGCUGGAGGGGGGGCACACAAAAGCAGCCGGGCUCCUGUGGGCCCCCCCCCGGGCACCUCCAGGGCCCGGCCCGGUUCCCCCCAAGGCCGGGGCCGCCCCCUCAGGGCCCCCCCAGGCCGGCGCCCCCCUCACCCCCCGGCCCGGCCCCGCCGCCCCCUCCUCAAGCCGGGUCCCCCGAGGCCGAGGUUCCCCCCCCGGGGGGCUCCGCGCCCCCCCUGGGCCUCCUCAGGUCCCCCCUCAGGCCCCGCCGCCCCCCGCCGGGCCCCGCCUGGCAGCCAUCCCCCCGCUCCUUCCCCGCUGCAGGCCGCGGGCCCGGCCCCCUCCCUCUUCUCCCUUUCCCAGGCCUCAGAUCCCGGUCCCCUCGGCCUCUCCCCAAGCCCCGCCGGGUCCCGGUGCCGCCCGGUGGGAGCGGCGCAGGCCCCGCUCCCCGCCACCGACCUCCUCCUCCUCCUCCUCGCCGCCAACUCUCUGGCGCCGGUCCGCCGCCGCUCCAGGACUACAACUCCCAGCAGCCCCCGCGAGGCGCUUCCGGGGCGCGGCCCCGCCGGGCGAAGCGGCGCUUCCGCCGCCGCGCCAAGGGUUGGGGAGCGCGAAGCCCGCGGGGGGCGGGGCCUGUUGCCAUGGCAACGGCGGGAGCCUGCGGCCCUCAGGCGCUGCUGAGGCGGGAGGGAGGGGGGGGAAAGGGGGGGGGGCUCCUGCGCUGUGGGGCCCUGUGGUGGGGUUCACCUCAGGGAGCUCUCCUCAGGGAUCUCUCCUCGGGGAGCUCACCUCAGGGAUCUCUCCUCAGGGAGCUCACCUCAUGGAGCUCUCCUCAGGGAUCUCACCUCAGGGAUCUCUCCUCGGGGAUCUCUCCUCGGGGAUCUCUCCUCAGGGAUCCCACCUCAGGGAUCUCACCUCAGGGAUCUCACCUCGGGGAUCUCCCCUCGGGGAUCCCACCUCAGGGAUCUCUCCUCAGGGAUCUCACCUCAGGGAUCUCUCCUCAGGGAUCCCACCUCAGGGAUCUCACCUCAGGGAGCUCUCCUCAGGGAUCUCUCCUCAGGGAUCCCACCUCAGGGAGCUCUCCUCAGGGAGCUCUCCUCAGGGAUCUCACCUCAGGGAUCUCUCCUCAGGGAGCUCUCCUCAGGGAUCUCUCCUCAGGGAUCUCUCCUCGGGGAUCUCAGUGAGAGCCUCACAGAGCAGUGUCUGUCCCCUCUUCUGGCUUAUUGUGAGCAGUCACCUCGUGAAACUGUCACAAAGUCCCAAAAUCACCCAGGUUGGAUCAGCCAGUCCAAGCUCUGAGCUAACACUAACCAGUCCUCCACUAAACCAUAUCACCAAGCUCUACAUCUGA
This 1449-nucleotide long non-coding RNA is filed under the name Anas platyrhynchos platyrhynchos (common mallard). RNAcentral describes it as "lncRNA (ENSAPLG00000023961.1)". Lineage: Eukaryota; Metazoa; Chordata; Aves; Anseriformes; Anatidae. The record is from RNAcentral.